AUUGAACGCUGGCGGCAGGCCUAACACAUGCGAGUCGAGCGGAUGAAGGGAGCUUGCUCCUGGAUUCAGCGGCGGACGGGUGAGUAAUGCCUAGGAAUCUGCCUGGUAGUGGGGGAUAACGUCCGGAAACGGGCGCUAAUACCGCAUACGUCCUGAGGGAGAAAGUGGGGGAUCUUCGGACCUCACGCUAUCAGAUGAGCCUAGGUCGGAUUAGCUAGUUGGUGGGGUAAAGGCCUACCAAGGCGACGAUCCGUAACUGGUCUGAGAGGAUGAUCAGUCACACUGGAAGUGAGACACGGUCCAGACUCCUACGGGAGGCAGCAGUGGGGAAUAUUGGACAAUGGGCGAAAGCCUGAUCCAGCCAUGCCGCGUGUGUGAAGAAGGUCUUCGGAUUGUAAAGCACUUUAAGUUGGGAGGAAGGGCAGUAAGUUAAUACCUUGCUGUUUUGACGUUACCAACAGAAUAAGCACCGGCUAACUUCGUG
RNAcentral lists this ribosomal RNA (484 nucleotides) under uncultured bacterium. RNAcentral's name for it is "partial 16S ribosomal RNA". It matches the Rfam family "Bacterial small subunit ribosomal RNA", at positions 30 to 507 of the family's 1533-position model. The record is from RNAcentral.